AUUGAACGCUGGCGGCAGGCCUAACACAUGCAAGUCGAACGAGUGGCGGACGGGUGAGUAAUGUCUGGGCAAAUGCCUGAUGGAGGCGGAUAACUAAUGGAACAGGUAGCUCAUACCGCAUACCAUUGGAUGUGCCCAGAUUGUAUUUGCUAGUAGGUGGGGUAAAGGCUCACGUGGGUGGCUAUCCUGAGCUGAUCGUAGAGGAUGACACGCCACAUUGGAAAUGAGACACGGGCCAGACUCCUACGGGAGGCAGCAGUGGGGAAUAUGGCACAAUUGGCGCAAGCCUGAUGCAGCCAUGCCGCGUGUAUGAAGAAGUCCUUCGGUUUGUAAAGUACUUUCAGCGGGGAAGCGUUACCCGCAGAAGAAGCACCGGCUAACUCCGUGCCAGCAGCCGCGGUAAUUC
RNAcentral lists this ribosomal RNA (406 nucleotides) under uncultured bacterium. Its description in RNAcentral is "partial 16S ribosomal RNA". It matches the Rfam family "Bacterial small subunit ribosomal RNA", at positions 30 to 526 of the family's 1533-position model. The record is from RNAcentral.